CCGAUGGCGACCGGCGCACGGGUGAGUAACACGUAUCCAACCUGCCGAUAACUCGGGGAUAGCCUUUCGAAAGAAAGAUUAAUAUCCGAUAGGAUAUCAAGGUCGCAUGAUCUUGAUAUUAAAGAAUUUCGGUUAUCGAUGGGGAUGCGUUCCAUUAGUUAGUUGGCGGGGUAACGGCCCACCAAGACGACGAUGGAUAGGGGGUUCUGAGAGGAAGGUCCCCCACAUUGGAACUGAGACACGGUCCAAACUCCUACGGAAGGCAGCAG
RNAcentral lists this ribosomal RNA (269 nucleotides) under uncultured bacterium. RNAcentral's name for it is "partial 16S ribosomal RNA". It matches the Rfam family "Bacterial small subunit ribosomal RNA", at positions 85 to 354 of the family's 1533-position model. The record is from RNAcentral.